This 5771-nucleotide long non-coding RNA is filed under the name Solanum tuberosum (potato). RNAcentral's name for it is "long non-coding RNA (STUB_LNC006952)". Lineage: Eukaryota; Viridiplantae; Streptophyta; Magnoliopsida; Solanales; Solanaceae. The record is from RNAcentral.
CGAUGCGUUUUGUAACACAUGCUUUCAGAGGACUACCACAAAGUCCUGCAUUAUUUGCAUAACUUUCAGGUGGAAAAGUGGCAUUGAUAAACCUUCGCACUGGCCCUGUCAACAUGUUGUUGGCAACAUUAAAGUUCUUGAGUCGAUUUAACGAGCCAAUUUCAGCUGGGAUCGGACCGUCUAGUUUAUUGCUGUCUAAUCUGACGGAAUUAAGAAAAGAGCAAUUUGCAAUGUUACUUGGGAUCGCGCCUGACAAUAGGUUGCUUGAGAGAUCAACCAUUAUAAUAAAUUCAAUUAAUUUUGAUAUAUCCGAAGGGAUGGUUCCAUAUAUCUCGUUGCUUGAAAGAUCUAGAGAAGUUAUAGAAGUGCAAUUUUUUAUGCCUCGCGGAAACUCACCUUUUAGUCUCAUGUCUGAAAGACUAAUGGAUAAAACUCUGCUCUCAUCAUCAUGCCAGCAUUGUAUUCCUGCAAAUCUGCAUAUGAAACCUUCUGUCUGUUUAUCGAACUUCCACGUAGUAUUCAAGAAAUUAAAAGGGUCUUCCAACGAAUCUUUUAUCGACAUCAAACAAUCUAGAGAAAAGCUGGAAAGUAGUAGGAAAAAUGGUAGUACUAAGUAAAGAAUAAUGUUGCAGUUGCACAUUAUGGAAAUGGAUUUUUUUUGUUUUAGAGUAUCCAUUGACUUGAUUAGAAGGAACAUGAAAUUUAUUGAGUUAUUUGUGGUGUAAUAUAGUACUAAUUAUUUUUUGCAAAAAUGGACACCAGUUGACUUGGGUCAAUUCCAUAUAAGGUAGAUUAAUUCCAACACAUUUUUCUCAAUAUCUUUGACUCCACAACUUGGGCUAAGUCGGUAGGAUAUGUUGUCUAGGUAUCGUCCUUUUCUAAAUCCAUGAAAAAACUGAGAUUAGAACAAGGCAAAAUUUAAGUGUCUAAAUGAGAUCUCCGAUCAAGAUUUUGUUGAGGUUUAUUUUCCCUGAUUUCUUACCAUAAAUAGGUUUUUCUUUAGGAAAAAGUUUUAAUAUUUUGAGUAGUCUUUUUCAUGUAGGAAAGGUUUUCGGAUUCUAUAAAUAUAGUCUUGUUCCUUCUAACUUAAUCAGCAUACACAAUGUAGUCCUAGGGUUUUGAGAGUUUCGGUUAUGGGGGAGAAUUUGUGAACCUCCUUGUAUUGCGAGUGAAUUGGUUGAGGUUAUUUCUCUCUAUAUUUUGUACUCUCAUAUUUGUAGUGGAUUGCUCAUUUGCUUUGUGGAUAUAGGUCAACUGAUCAAAUCACGUUAAAUUUUUGUGUCUUUUGGUAUAUUUCUUGUUUGUCUUCUUACUCAUGGUCUUUCAAGGUUUCUUUGCUAGCUUCCGCAUUACACCUAAUUAUUUUCGAUCCUAACAGUUUUAAGUGUUUGACCUUUUCUUUUUUGGUUUCUCGUCCGGUGGUCGUAGCCCACAUUAAAGCUCUGACUAUAUUCGGAUUACGCACUACAGGAUCCAUUUGAAGAUGGCGAGACCUUUGAUUAAAGAUGAAGCACUCAGACCACCAGUGCACCACAACUCAAGUUAAUAGUCGUGUUUGACCUUUAAUCAUUUAACAACUAUUAUUAUUAUGUGUCUCACAUGCAUCAACAAUUUUUUUGGGUCCAUCCUCACAUUGACGGCGGCUCACAAUUUUCCAUUUACAUACAUUCUCACUUGCACAUUGUUUUUCAUUGACACGGAAAUACAUCAACACAUUGGGAUUUGUCAUUUGUGAGGAUACUAUUGGUCUGUGGCAAUAAAAAUAUCUGAAAUCUUUUCUUCUUUUGUGCGGAUUUAGGAGAACUCAAGUGUCCUUGACAAUAUCAUAUCAUACUAUAUUAUUAUAAGAUAUAUGAUAAAUACUACUUAUAUAUCCUAUCAUAUCAUAUUUUCAUAUAUAUAUAUAUAUAUAUAUAUAUAUAUAGAUAUUUUAAUUACAUAAUGGUAGAAUUUGAGUGCUUAAGCCCUUUAAUAAUUAAAUUAUUAUUUUCUUAUAAAUGAGUAUAUUGAUAUUGUUUUUAAUCAUAAUCAUAAUUCUCAUAACGGAAAAAUUUGAAAAGUUAUGAUAGAUAAAAUAAUGUAUAUAUCAUCAUCAUAUCAUAUCAUCAUUAUCAAUCAUAUCAUUCAUAUAUUUUAUUAUUAUUAUUUUAUUUUAUUUUAUAUUACUAAAAGUGGAAAACUCCAAAGUGCAAAGUUGGAUUAUCAUUCUACCCCUACAUUCAAUCAUAUUAUUAUAAAAUAUUUAAUUAAUUAAAUAUUAAGUAGCUAAUCAUAUUAUAUUAUACUAAAAAUGAGAAGCUAUUAAAUUAAUAUAAUUCAUUCUUUUAAAAAACAAUGCAUUAAGAAUAUGAAGGUUUACUUUGUAUGGUUCAAUAAUAUGGGCUUGAUUCAAAUGCAGGUGUAAUGUAAUUUUUCAACAUCAAUGCAUUGAUUUCCUUAAUUAAUUUGAAAAAAUGAAUAAGUAAUUUGAAAAGUUACCUGUCAUGUAUAAUUAUAGAUCAGAUUCAUAUGUAGCAGUAUAAAAUGUAUUUGAACAGUCAUUAUAUUAUAUUACACUAAAUACUAAAAGUGGAAAAAUAACUUAUUCAAUAAUCACAAUAAAUAAAUAUUUAAAGAAAUGUGAGAAGCCACUCUUGUAAAUCCAAGAAUCACUAAAUUAUAAUAUGUGUUUAAAGGAUAAUUAUAUAGUAGUAUUUAUUAGGAGUGUUCUUUACAUUUGUUACGUUGAAUUUCUUUUGGAACUCUAAACAUCAACAAAUUAAUUAUAAGCAGUUUCAAUUACAUGUAUCUAGUUACAAUUUAUCUUCUAUUGGAGACACCAAUAGUCUUGGUUGCUAAUUGAUGAUGUGGAGGAAUUAAUAUCUUCUCACAAGAUAAAUGUACAAAAAUAUACUUUGAUAGUUGUGAAUAUUAUUCAUUAUAAAUUAAAGAAUUUGAUGAAGUGGCUAAUAGGUUGAGUAUAGUCAUCGACGUUCUCCUCUCACACGAACGACACAGGUAAAUCAUAUUUUUGAUGUUCUUGAGCUUCUCUUUUAAUCAACUAUUUCUAUUUCUUCCACAUACUUAAAAGUAUUGUCCCGAUUAAAAAUUUGCAUACUUUAUGUCAUUAUAUUUCUCUUUGUAGAUGGACUAUAAAUCUAUCACCAGUCUGUGCAAUUCUUUUACAGAAUCUUAUCGAAAAUUGAUAUGAGAUGAAGUUGAAAGGAUCAUUCUUGACCCAUCUGUUUUAUCGGGAGAGUCAGGUAAGGCUAAAAGGGUUCUUUCAAACCCUCUUUAACUGAAAAUUACAAUAUUUAUACAUAUGGUUUAAAUAGUUUUUUAUGUAUAUAUAGUAGAGGUUGAACCUUCGUGUGUUUAGUUCUUCAUAUUUUAAAUCCCUUUUAGUGAAAACUUAAGUCUGGCACUAUUUUAUUUAAUAUGUUUUUCUCACUGUUGUUUCUAUUAUUAAUGUCUUAAAAUCAUAUUUUAUGUGGUCACUUUUGUACUAAAUGACUCAUGGUUCAUGUUGACUAUUUGUUGCAAUUUAGUGAUUUUUUACAUAUAGAUUUAUGCUCAAUAUUGGAAGUGUCGGAAACUAUAAUUUUGAAUCAAUCCUAACUUGGAUACACGUGCAACACACGUAUCCAGAAACCAGUUAUACUAUAAGUGGGAAGAAUUUUAGGCAAAAGUUAGAUUACUAUUUUACCCCUACACUAAAUCAUAAUCUAAUUAAUUAGUAAUAUUAGUAAACUUGGGUCGUUCCCCGAACCCUACGCGAAAACUGUUACCUGAAGAAACAAGUCUUCCACACCAUCUUCUAUUAGAGAGCUUUGCUAUUAGUUUCGAUUAUGCCCGAAUCUGAAUGUGCAUCUCAAUGAUUAAUUUAUUGUGAUUAGAUUUGAAUAUUAAAUGAUUAACAUUGUUUGUCUUUUAAUAUCUAAAUGUGCAUGAUUUAUUUAUUUAUUAACAUAAUAAAUAGGGAAAAGGGUCAAAACAAGUUCCAAGCUGAUAAAUUAUUUAUACAUAUGAAAUGGUUCUUCAUCACAAAUACAUUGGUUUGAGCCAAAGCUACACGUCCCUUUGGUGGCUCCGCCCCUGCUUGUAGUCCAAGUGCAAUUGUAUUUCAGAACCCCCUGUUUGGUCAUGGACUCGAGCAAUCGCAGCAACAGUCUGAUACACUUGUUGCAUCGUUGGCCUUUGAUCCGGAAUAAAUUUCAUGCAAUCACUUGCAAGUUCAAGUAGUUGCAUUACCAUAUUAUCAAAUCCUUGCCCUAACAGUACUUUAUCAACAUCAAGAGGACUGGCAAAAGAGCUGCUCGACAAAUUUAGACUCGAGCAGCUCAAUAUGUAAGAUUCUUUCCUCGUUAAAAGCUCGAGAAGCACAACCCCAAAUCGAUAAACAUCUUUUUUAUAUGUUGUAAAGUCUAAACACUCGACUAUUGGAAAUAGACUCAAGUUUGAAUCUAUGUCAUUUGUUUUUGCAAGUGUUGCCUCCCAAAAAUUGGAUAACUUAGGAUCGAAAUUUUCAUCGAGCAAGAUACAUUGUGUGCUUAUGUUACCAUGCACAACAUGGAAAUUUCCACCAUCAUGAAGCCAAGUCAGGGCUUUCGCGACACCUAAAACAAUUUUAACCCUUAGAGGAAAGUCCAAGAGUCUUGCCUUGUCGUCGGUUGAAUGCAACCACUCAUGUAAGUUUCCAUUAGGCAUGUAUUUGUAAACCAGAAUUCGCUCGUCCCUCUCAGAACAAAAGCCGAUUAAAGGCACCAAAUUUGGAUGCCUCAGACUACCCAGAGUUGUGAUCUCGGAAACAACUCUUCCUCCAAAUCCUCUGAAACAUGGAAUCUCUUUAUGGCAACUGUCCAUCCAUUUGGGACCAGUGCUUUGUACACUUUCCCUAGCAUUCCGUUCCCGAUUUCAUUGUCUUGGCUGAAUUCAAAGUCGCUUUUGAUAGUUCCAUAAAACUCAUUCUUGUAACAAUCUUCUCCAUCUUUAAAAUCUGAGGAAGAGAACAUAGCUACCAUAUUUAGCAAUAGUUUGAUUAAGUAGUACUCUUUUUGUCUCAAUUUAUCUGACAUAUAUAGUUUGACUGGACACAAAUUUUAAGACAAAAGAAGACAAUUUUUAAACUUGUAGUCUUAAACGUCCCAUAACACUUGUAUGCCUAUAAAAGCUUGCGACUGAGAGUAAAAUGAUAAGUUUAAGGAGGCAUUUACCCGUAAUAUUUUUCACUUUAUUGGGAAAAAAGACGGUUGAAAGCAAGCGUAAUGUUUACCUUUGGAUCGUUGUUUACUUCUUCUCCUCGAGGCGAUUCAUUUCCAUCAAUCACCAUUACCUUUGUUCUCUUGUUGAUGAAUAGAAGCAUCUUCUUUACGCCAGGUAAACCAAAGAAAAAAAGAUAUAUACCAAGUACAGUAAAAAGUGACCAACCAGUCACAAAACCACACGCAAACUGUACACGACGGUUCAAUACAGUACUUAACAUGAACCCGACGUGUUUUGUACCACAUAAUUCCAGAGGAGGACCACAAAGUCCUGGAUUAUUUGCAUAGCUUUCAGCUGGAAAAGUUGAAUUAAUAAACCUUGGCACUGGCCCUACCAACAUGUUGUUGGCAACAUUAAAGUUCUUGAGUCGACCUAAAAGGGCAAUUUCUGGUGGGAUUGGACCUUGUAGUUUAUUGUUGUCUAAUCUGAGGGAAUUAAGAAAAGAGCAAUUUGCAAUGUCACUUGGGAUCGCGCCUGAAAAUUGGUUGCUUGAGAGAUCAAGGGUUAUAGUAAAUCUGAUUAAUUUUGAU